UGAAUACGAGACGCUAAGGCGUUGAAGUAGUGUAUAUCAUACUUCCAAGAAAAGCUUGCACUGUCAUAGAUAAAAAACGCCUGUACCAUAACCGACACAGGUGGGUAGGUAGAGUAUACUAAGGGGCGCGAGAUAACUCUCUCAAAGGAACUCGGCAAAAUAACUCCGUAACUUCGGGAGAAGGAGUGCCUUAUUUAUAAGGUUGCAAUAACAAGAUCCAAGCAACUGUUUAUCAAAAACACAGGUCUCCGCUAAGUCGUAAGACGAUGUAUGGGGGCUGACGCCUGCCCAGUGCCAGAAGGUUAAAGAAGUUGGUUAGCAAUAGCGAAGCUGAUAACUGAAGCCCUGGUGAACGGCGGCCGUAACAAUAACGGUCCUAAGGUAGCGAAAUUCCUUGUCGGGUAAGUUCCGACCCGCACGAAAGGCGUAAUGAUUUGGAUACUGUCUCGGAGAGGGGCUCGGUGAAAUAGACUUGUCUGUGAAGAUGCGGACUACCUGCACCAGGACAGAAAGACCCUAUGAAGCUUUACUGUAACUUGAAAUUGAAAUUGGACUUUAUUCGCGCAGUAUAGGUGGGAGGCGUUGAUUGUAAUCUUGCGGGAUUAUUGGAGCCAUCAGUGAGAUACCACCCUUGUAAUGUUAGAUUUCUAACUUUGAAUCAUUAUCUGGUCAAAGAACAGUUUCAGGCGGGCAGUUUGACUGGGGCGGUCGCCUCCUAAACGGUAACGGAGGCGUACAAAGGUUUCCUCUGAACGGUUAGAAAUCGUAUCUAGAGUGUAAAGGCAUAAGGAAGCUUGACUGUGAGACCUACAAGUCGAGCAGGGACGAAAGUCGGUCUUAGUGAUCUGACGGUACUGAGUGGAAAGGCCGUCACUCAACGGAUAAAAGUUACUCUAAGGAUAACAGGCUGAUCUCCCCCAAGAGUUCACAUCGACGGGGAGGUUUGGCACCUCGAUGUCGGCUCAUCGCAUCCUGGGGCGGUAGUACGUCCCAAGGGUUGGGCUGUUCGCCCAUGAAAGCGGUACGCGAGCUGGGUUCAGAACGUCGUGAGACAGUUCGGUCCAUAUCCGGUGUAGGCGUUAGAAUAUUGAGAGGAGCCUUCUUUAGUACGAGAGGACCGAGAAGGACAUACCUCUGGUGUACCAGUUAUCGUGCCAACGGUAAACGCUGGGUAGCUAUGUAUGGAGUGGAUAACCGCUGAAAGCAUCUAAAUGGGAAGCCCACCUCAAGAUAAGUAUUCUCGU
RNAcentral lists this ribosomal RNA (1244 nucleotides) under metagenome. RNAcentral's name for it is "bacterial LSU rRNA". It matches the Rfam family "Bacterial large subunit ribosomal RNA", at positions 1564 to 2817 of the family's 2925-position model. The record is from RNAcentral.